Long non-coding RNA from Oncorhynchus tshawytscha (Chinook salmon), 965 nucleotides. The record is from Ensembl. NCBI's taxonomy places the organism in Eukaryota, Metazoa, Chordata, Actinopteri, Salmoniformes, Salmonidae.
CUUCUGUAGUGUAGUUCUACUGUAGUGUAGUUCUACUGUAGUGUAGUUCUACUGUAGUGUAGUUCUUCUGUAGUCUAGUUCUACUGUAGUGUAGUUCUACUGUAGUGUAGUUCUACUGUAGUGUAGUUCUACUGUAGUGUAGUUCUUCUGUAGUGUAGUUCUACUGUAGUGUAUUCUUCUGUAGUGUAGUUCUUCUGUAGUGUAGUUCUUCUGUAGUGUAGUUCUACUGUAGUGUAGUUCUACUGUAGUGUAGUUCUACUGUAGUGUAGUUCUACUGUAGUGUAGUUCUUCUGUAGUGUAGUUCUACUGUAGUGUAGUUCUACUGUAGUCUAGUUCUACUGUAGUGUAGUUCUACUGUAGUGUAGUUCUACUGUAGUCUAGUUCUAUUGUAGUGUAGUUCAACUGUAGUGUAUUCUUCUGGAGUGUAGUUCUAUUCUAAAGUAUUUAAACUGGAACAACCAUUUCAGUAAUUGAGUCAAUAUAUCCAAGUAACAGAUUAAUAGUUUUUCUGUAUCAAGGUCAGAAGGCUUUGUAUUCUUGAGUCUUUCCAAAAGUGAACAACCUGGAAAAACUUCCCCCGAACAGAGAGAUGGAGGACAUUCAUCACAGCUGUAUCUGCAGAGUGUUGAGGUUAAACUAACAAUCCCAACUAAAUAACUACAUAGAUACGGAUGUGAGAGGAGAAUGCAGAAUCAAUCUGUAUGGAAUAUAAGACCAACAAUCUGUAUGGAAUAUAAGACCAACAAUCUGUAUGGAAUAUAAGACCAACAAUCUGUUUGCAAUGUAAACCUUCUAAUAAAAGCAAUACUUAUUAAAUCAAGUUCCCUCCUCCAGGUAAAACAAUGUAAAGCCUGGUAAUCCUUCUGUGUUGUCAUCUAUCCUGACACACUAGUUCCCUCCUCCAGGUAAAACAAUGUAAAGCCUGGUAAUCCUUCUGUGUUAUCAUCUAUCCUGACACACUACUU